Molecule: ribosomal RNA, 395 nt
Filed under: uncultured bacterium
Lineage: Bacteria
Description: bacterial SSU rRNA
Rfam family: Bacterial small subunit ribosomal RNA
Source: RNAcentral
AUUGAACGCUGGCGGCAUGCCUUACACAUGCAAGUCGAACGGUAACGCGGGGCAACCUGGCGACGAGUGGCGAACGGGUGAGUAAUAUAUCGGAACGUGCCCAGUAGUGGGGGAUAGCCCGGCGAAAGCCGGAUUAAUACCGCAUGAGACCUGAGGGUGAAAGCGGGGGAUCGCAAGACCUCGCGCUAUUGGAGCGGCCGAUAUCAGAUUAGGUAGUUGGUGGGGUAAAGGCCUACCAAGCCGACGAUCUGUAGCUGGUCUGAGAGGACGACCAGCCACACUGGGACUGAGACACGGCCCAGACUCCUACGGGAGGCAGCAGUGGGGGAAUUUUGGACAAUGGGCGCAAGCCUGAUCCAGCCAUGCCGCGUGCGGGAAGAAGGCCUCGGUUGUAA